UCGGAGGGAUCAUUACCGAGUUUACAACUCCCAAACCCCUGUGAACAUACCAAUUGUUGCCUCGGCGGAUCAGCCCGCUCCCGGUAAAACGGGACGGCCCGCCAGAGGACCCCUAAACUCUGUUUCUAUAUGUAACUUUUGAGUAAAACCAUAAAUAAAUCAAAACUUUCAACAACGGAUCUCUUGGUUCUGGCAUCGAUGAAGAACGCAGCAAAAUGCGAUAAGUAAUGUGAAUUGCAGAAUUCAGUGAAUCAUCGAAUCUUUGAACGCACAUUGCGCCCGCCAGUAUUCUGGCGGGCAUGCCUGUUCGAGCGUCAUUUCAACCCUCAAGCCCUCGGGUUUGGUGUUGGGGAUCGGCGAGCCCUUGCGGCAAGCCGGCCCCGAAAUCUAGUGGCGGUCUCGCUGCAGCUUCCAUUGCGUAGUAGUAAAACCCUCGCAACUGGUACGCGGCGCGGCCAAGCCGUUAAACCCCCAACUUCUGAAUGUUGACCUCGGAUCAGGUAGGAAUACCCGCUGAACUUAAGCAUAUCAA
Molecule: ribosomal RNA, 532 nt
Filed under: Fusarium sp. UOC/PTS/RDNM-10
Lineage: Eukaryota; Fungi; Ascomycota; Sordariomycetes; Hypocreales; Nectriaceae
Description: eukaryotic LSU rRNA
Rfam family: 5.8S ribosomal RNA (bases 164-317)
Source: RNAcentral